Molecule: ribosomal RNA, 481 nt
Filed under: uncultured bacterium
Lineage: Bacteria
Description: partial 16S ribosomal RNA
Rfam family: Bacterial small subunit ribosomal RNA
Source: RNAcentral
GACGAACGCUGGCGGCGUGCUUAACACAUGCAAGUCGAGCGAUGAAGUUUCUUCGGAAAUGGAUUAGCGGCGAACGGGUGAGGAACACGUGAAGAAUCUGCCCUCCACUUCGGGAUAACACAGGGAAACCUGUGCUAAUACCGAAUAUCGAAACAUAAGUAGCAUCACUGAGUUUUGAAAGAAUUUCGGUGGAGGAUGACUUCGCGGCCUAUCAGCUAGUUGGUGAGGUAAUGGCUCACCAAGGCAACGACGGGUAGCCGGCCUGAGAGGGCGACCGGCCACACUGGGACUGAGACACGGCCCAGACUCCUACGGGAGGCAGCAGUGGGGAAUAUUGGGCAAUGGAGGAAACUCUGACCCAGCGACGCCGCGUGCGGGAUGAAGGCCUUCGGGUUGUAAACCGCUUUCAGUAGGGAAGAAGCGAAAGUGACGGUACCUACAAAAGAAGCACCGGCUAACUAUGUGCCAGCCGCCGCCGUAA